UACGUAGGGGGUGAGCGUUGUCCGGAUUUAUUGGGCGUAAAGAGCUCGUAGGCGGUUUGGCAAGUCGGGUGUGAAAACUCCGGGCUCAACUCGGAGACGCCACUCGAUACUGCCAUGACUCGAGUCCGGUAGGGGAGUGCGGAAUUCCUGGUGUAGCGGUGAAAUGCGCAGAUAUCAGGAGGAACACCGGUGGCGAAGGCGGCACUCUGGGCCGGAACUGACGCUGAGGAGCGAAAGCGUGGGGAGCGAACAGG
This 254-nucleotide ribosomal RNA is filed under the name uncultured bacterium. RNAcentral's name for it is "partial 16S ribosomal RNA". It matches the Rfam family "Bacterial small subunit ribosomal RNA", at positions 524 to 776 of the family's 1533-position model. The record is from RNAcentral.